CCAACCUAUUUAACAGAGUGCCAUUUUAAUUAAGGCAUCCAAAUUUAUACAGACUAACAGUCUGGAAGGCGGUAAAAAUUAGGAUAAAUUCAUAAUAAAAGCAGUAAAAACAUGGACAACCAGUAGCCUUUUUAAAAAUAACAGCUCUUAAGACAAUCUUACAUCUAUGAUGUUUGAGCAAAACUGUCACAGCUAUAUUAGGUUGUUUUGCUAAUUUCAAAUUAGAAGGUCAAAAUAGAAUGACACCAAAAAGAAUCUUACUUUCUUCAAGGAAGCAGAAAGACUCCUGAAAUAAAUUAUGCUAGAAUCCUUCUAGCAUUGCAAUGAUUUUUUGAAAUCCACAGCUUAUAGAGUAACGCAAUCCACGUGUCUUUAGUACAAAGAUUGAAUCUGGUUUCUCUUUGCUAAGAUGACUUUCAAGAUAACGAUAGAGAUUUUUGAAUAAUACAGUUUUGCGUACAUCAAUUUCAUGUUGAAGCUUUAACUUUUGAUUGUUAACUGAAUGAGAUCUGCAGCAGUAUUUGCUGUGAGGGAAAAGAUGUAAAAUACAAUCUUUCCUAAUUACUUCUAAUUUAUUUAGAUAGGAUGGAAAACUUCACCACUUGCUUUAAUUUAAAAACGUCACUACUCAUCUAUACUAACAGCAUCUCUCUUUGGUACCAGAGGUGGCAGUAGCAAAUUGUAAGGACCAACUUGUUCUCUGAAUACAAACGAAGGCCAGUACUGGCAUACAGACAACAGUAGCAGCAAUAAAGUAACAGGCCAUACUUGAUACUGAGGAACAUCUCCCAUCACUUAAAGGAGUUAAAGCUGCCAUGCAAAGGUAGGAGGAGGUCGCAGUAUUAAAACAGAGCUGAACAGCAUCAUCCCUACUGCCAGACAGCGUAGGAGUGCUUUCAUCACGUUUGUCAGCGCUCUGCUCAGAAAAGCAUUUCUCACAGUUGUGAUACUUGGGGCAUAUUCUUCCUGGAGGAAAAAGUAGGGGCAUGUGGGAAACCUCCUAACCUCGCCUGGAACAGCUGGAGAGCAGAUUCAGGAGUAGCUCUUGGGCCUGUCACAAAGCACAUCCCACCCCCAGGAUUCCUACAGCCACUCUGUGAGGCUCCAGAAGAGGUGGCUUAGCAGGACUAGAGGCUGGUGCUGCUUGCACCGUUGCUCUCCUCCACUCCGCCUGCACACCAGCAAGCUGCAGACUACUCCAGGGAUUGCUGCCUUAGAAACCAAGUGGGAUACAAACUCAUAGGAUACACAAGUUUAGAAGACAAAAAUUAAACAAAGAAACAGAAAAACAACACACUCCCAUGCUAUCCUUUCAGUUGUACAUAAGCAAUCUGGACAUCAUUUGUGUGUUCCUCUGUCAAUGCCAUUGCCUUAUCUUAUCUAAAUACAGAAUUUUUU
This is a long non-coding RNA of Tympanuchus pallidicinctus (lesser prairie-chicken), 1398 nucleotides long. RefSeq lists it as uncharacterized. The record is from RefSeq and is a predicted model, not a curated record. NCBI's taxonomy places the organism in Eukaryota, Metazoa, Chordata, Aves, Galliformes, Phasianidae. The transcript is spliced from 2 exons.